AGAGUUUGAUCCUGGCUCAGGACGAACGCUGGCGGCGCGCCUAACACAUGCAAGUCGAACGGAGCUUAGAGAGCUUGCUUUUUAAGCUUAGUGGCGAACGGGUGAGUAACGCGUGAGUAACCUGCCCUAGAGUGGGGGACAACAGUUGGAAACGACUGCUAAUACCGCAUAAGCCCACGGUACCGCAUGGUACUGAGGGAAAAGGAUUUAUUCGCUUUAGGAUGGACUCGCGUCCAAUUAGCUAGUUGGUGAGGUAACGGCCCACCAAGGCGACGAUUGGUAGCCGGACUGAGAGGUUGAACGGCCACAUUGGGACUGAGACACGGCCCAGACUCCUACGGGAGGCAGCAGUGGGGGAUAUUGCACAAUGGGGGAAACCCUGAUGCAGCGACGCCGCGUGGAGGAAGAAGGUUUUCGGAUUGUAAACUCCUGUCGUUAGGGACGAUAAUGACGGUACCUAACAAGAAAGCACCGGCUAACUACGUGCCAGCAGCCGCGGUAAAACGUAGGGUGCAAGCGUUGUCCGGAAUUACUGGGUGUAAAGGGAGCGCAGGCGGGAAGACAAGUUGGAAGUGAAAACCAUGGGCUCAACCCAUGAAUUGCUUUCAAAACUGUUUUUCUUGAGUAGUGCAGAGGUAGAUGGAAUUCCCGGUGUAGCGGUGGAAUGCGUAGAUAUCGGGAGGAACACCAGUGGCGAAGGCGGUCUACUGGGCACCAACUGACGCUGAGGCUCGAAAGCAUGGGUAGCAAACAGGAUUAGAUACCCUGGUAGUCCAUGCCGUAAACGAUG
RNAcentral lists this ribosomal RNA (790 nucleotides) under human gut metagenome. RNAcentral's name for it is "bacterial SSU rRNA". It matches the Rfam family "Bacterial small subunit ribosomal RNA", at positions 8 to 811 of the family's 1533-position model. The record is from RNAcentral.